GUCUUUUUGGUUAUUUAAUAUAAAGUCUGACCUGCCCACUGAAUUUAUUUUGAAGGGCCGCAGUAUUUUGACUGUGCAAAGGUAGCAUAAUCAUUAGUCUUUUAAUUGAAGGCUGGUAUGAAUGGUUGGAUGAGGUACAAGCUGUGUCAUAAAAAUUAACAAUUGAAUUUACCUUUUUAGUCAAAAGGCUAAAAUGAAAUUAAAAGACGAGAAGACCCUAUAGAGCUUUAUAUAAUUUAUAUUUAAAUUAUUAAGAUUUUUUAAAUUUAAUUAUUAUUUUAUAUUUUGUUGGGGUGACAAUAAAAUUUAUAAAACUUUUAUUUUUAAUUUACAUUUAUUUAUGGCUAUAUGAUCCAGUUUUAUUGAUUAUAAAUUUAAGUUACCUUAGGGAUAACAGCGUAAUUUUUUUUGAGAGUUCUUAUCGACAAAAAAGAUUGCGACCUCGAUGUUGGAUUAAGAGUAAUUUUGGGUGUAGAAGUUCAAAGUUUAAGUCUGUUCGACUUUUAAAUUCUUACAU
This 517-nucleotide ribosomal RNA is filed under the name Simulium sabahense. Its description in RNAcentral is "partial 16S ribosomal RNA". It matches the Rfam family "Bacterial large subunit ribosomal RNA", at positions 1825 to 2601 of the family's 2925-position model. Lineage: Eukaryota; Metazoa; Arthropoda; Insecta; Diptera; Simuliidae. The record is from RNAcentral.